GGAACGCGCGAUUGGGGAUAUGGAAACUAAUUGGGGAUAUGAAUUACUUCCCCCAACCAAAAGUGUCUGUUAAGGGGUGUUUUUUGUGGCGAAAGUAUUAAAACACCCUUAGAUUAAUUAAAAAACAUUAUGAAAAGACUGUUAUACCCUUUCUCCUAAAACUUAAAAUCAAAAACCAAACCAAAUAUCCCCAUUUACACCAUCAGUUCCGGCAUUCUUAGUUAGGGUUAGGUUUCGAUUUUUUUUCUUCAUCUUCUUCAUCGUUCACACCAUCGUUCUUCAUCGACGAUUAAUCGUUAAAUAAAAAAAAAAAUCGUCGAUUAACCUACCCGAAUCAUAACCAAGCCUCCACGAAAAAAAACAACUUCCCAAUCGAACCCAAGAUCGAUUGCUCAACAGAAAUUAAAAGAAAUACUUGGUUUGAUUGCUCAAGAGGAAGAAGACGAAGAAGCAGCGUUAUCGGACGAUCAACUACUUGCAAAGAUGGCUUCUGUGAGAAGAUCUAAAGCAAAGGAAUCCAAAGCAAAGGAGGCUAACAGAGGAAAAGCUAAAGCUGUUGUCACUAAGAAAAAAAGGAAGGAUGGUCUUGAUACUCCUCAUUCUCUGCCUCCUCGAGGGAAUAACAAAAAGCGUUUGGGUGUUGAGACAAGAGGGGAUAUUUGGGAGAGUGGUCGUGAUUGUAGUAAAAUCGUAAAUCCGUGAAUCUGCCGGAGCUGUUGAGGAGGAAGAUGAGGAAGAGGAGCAAGAUGAGCAAGAUGAAGAGGAAAGUGAGGAGGAAGAUAAUGAGAUUAAUCCAAGUCAAGUGGUAAUGGAACAAGUUGGUUCAAGUCAACAACCGACACAAGGCAAGGGCACAAGCAAAGUAAAAGUUAAAGGUUAACACCUUCCUCAUAUUGAUGACAUGAUACGUGACCUUGAUCGUGGUAAAAUUUGGGGUGCAGCUUCUUUUGAUCCGGGGCAUCUAUUUGGCUACAAGGACUCUUGGGCUCGUACUAUCUAUCAAACCUAUGUUCAUAAGAAGGUUGUGCGUUGUUGCCGAAAUCAAGCCUCCUCUCAUUGGGAUUUGUCUAAGGAAUGUGAAGAGGUCCAAACAUUAGUAAAGGAUUCUGGUCUAUAUACUUUGGUUGAAAAUUAUGUGAAGCCAG
This is a long non-coding RNA of Papaver somniferum (opium poppy), 1145 nucleotides long. RefSeq lists it as uncharacterized. The record is from RefSeq and is a predicted model, not a curated record. Lineage: Eukaryota; Viridiplantae; Streptophyta; Magnoliopsida; Ranunculales; Papaveraceae. The transcript is spliced from 3 exons.